UAUUUGCGAUUCUUUAUUUCAGAUAAGGAACUGCAAGGAAAAUCAUUUUAUGCAAUGGAUGGGAAACCGUAUUGUGAAGAGGACUACUUGAAUUCUCUUGAAAAGUGCUGUGUUUGUGGAAAUCCUGUUCUUGAUAGAAUUCUGAGAGCAACAGGAAAGCCUUAUCAUCCUGCGUGCUUUAAAUGUGUAGUUUGUGGAAAGUGUUUGGAUGGUAUUCCAUUUACUGUUGAUGCCACCAGUCAGAUUCACUGCAUUGA
Long non-coding RNA from Limulus polyphemus (Atlantic horseshoe crab), 257 nucleotides. RefSeq lists it as uncharacterized. The transcript is spliced from 3 exons. The record is from RefSeq and is a predicted model, not a curated record. NCBI's taxonomy places the organism in Eukaryota, Metazoa, Arthropoda, Merostomata, Xiphosura, Limulidae.